UACGGAGGGGGCAAGCGUUGUUCGGAAUUACUGGGCGUAAAGGGCGCGUAGGCGGCCUUCUAAGUCGAGCGUGAAAUCCCCGGGCUCAACCCGGGAACUGCGUCCGAUACUGGGAGGCUUGAAUCCGGGAGAGGGAUGUGGAAUUCCAGGUGUAGCGGUGAAAUGCGUAGAUAUCUGGAGGAACACCGGUGGCGAAGGCGGCAUCCUGGACCAACACUGACGCUGAGGAGCGAAAGCCAGGGGAGCAAACGGG
RNAcentral lists this ribosomal RNA (253 nucleotides) under uncultured bacterium. RNAcentral describes it as "partial 16S ribosomal RNA". It matches the Rfam family "Bacterial small subunit ribosomal RNA", at positions 524 to 776 of the family's 1533-position model. The record is from RNAcentral.